Molecule: long non-coding RNA, 1051 nt
Filed under: Monodelphis domestica (gray short-tailed opossum)
Lineage: Eukaryota; Metazoa; Chordata; Mammalia; Didelphimorphia; Didelphidae
Description: lncRNA (ENSMODG00000039517.1)
Source: RNAcentral
AUUCAGCUGCCAAGGAUCUAGAGGUGCUCCUUACUCACUCUAGAGGUGCCCCUUGAUCACUCACUAAUUCUGGCAUGCUGGCUCUGACUCUGGCUUCAUAGGUGGGGUGGGGGAGGGUAGAUCAGCUUGUGUUUUGGUGGGAGCUUUUUUACCCCCUUAUAGUGUGGAAAUGCCCAAAUCCCAUGUACCUUCAUUUCUGCACUCUACUGUAGAGUCUCUUCAUUCUUAUGAAUUUUUUUUUGGUCUUUUGAGGUAGUUCUAUAUUGGUGGGUGCUGAGGAGAGGACAAGUCUUGUGUCUAGACUGCCACCAUGUUUACCCAGAAAUCUCUAGACUCACAGUUAAAAUACAAGGCUUAGAACUCUCCACUAGGCCAUCUAGCUGCCUGAAUAUUCACCUGAUUCCUAUUUUCUGGAAUAACUCAACCCAGACCAUAGGCCAGAUACCACUUCCUCAUCACCUGGUCUAAGUAAGUUAGAUAUUUUAUGGUGUCAUAAACUCAUGUAGUUUUAAACCACAGGGCAAAUGUAUAUAUAUAAAUCAAGCUGUUCUGAAGAAGCUGGAAGGACCCAGCUAAUAAUAAUUACAACCAAGAUACCAAGGGGACAGUUAGUACCUUAGAGUGGGGCUGGGUUUUUCUCCCCCUUUAGGAUCCUAAAAUAUAAGACCUAGAAAGGAUUUCCAAGGUUAUCUAAUUCAGUGUCUUCAUUUUAUAAGAAGCAGGAUGCUAAAGAAGUUAAAUGAUCUAAGAUCAUGCAGUUCAUAAGUAGCAAAGGGGGAUUUUUUAACCAAGUUCUGAUUCCAAAUUGAGCAUUCUCUCCAAUUGUGUUGAUACUUGCUUAUACACUCAAACAGUCCUUCAAAUAGCCAAUAGCCCAGACUUGCAAACUAGCUGGCAAGGAUUAAGGGUACAGACUGGAGCCAGAGACCAGAAUAUAGUUAACUACCCCACCCAGGAAUUUAACUAGCCCCCUAACUCAUAAGCAGAAUAGGAACAGCCACAAUUUAAAUUUGUUUCUGUAACAUGUUUUCCAAGUAAGUCAGUAUGUACA